This 398-nucleotide ribosomal RNA is filed under the name uncultured bacterium. RNAcentral's name for it is "bacterial SSU rRNA". It matches the Rfam family "Bacterial small subunit ribosomal RNA", at positions 358 to 773 of the family's 1533-position model. The record is from RNAcentral.
GGAAUAUUGGACAAUGGGCGAAAGCCUGAUCCAGCCAUGCCGCGUGGAUGAAGAAGGCCCUAGGGUUGUAAAGUCCUUUCGGUGGUGAAGAUAAUGACGGUAACCACACAAGAAGCCCCGGCUAAUUUCGUGCCAGCAGCCGCGGUAAUACGAAAGGGGCUAGCGUUGUUCGGAAUUACUGGGCGUAAAGCGCACGUAGGCGGCCUUGUAAGUUGGGGGUGAAAUCCCGGAGCUCAACUCCGGAACUGCCUCCAAAACUACAAAGCUCGAGGAUGUGAGAGGAGAGUGGAAUUCCGAGUGUAGAGGUGAAAUUCGUAGAUAUUCGGAAGAACACCAGUGGCGAAGGCGACUCUCUGGCACAUUUCUGACGCUGAGGUGCGAAAGCGUGGGGAGCAAAC